RNAcentral lists this ribosomal RNA (478 nucleotides) under Lacticaseibacillus rhamnosus. RNAcentral describes it as "bacterial SSU rRNA". It matches the Rfam family "Bacterial small subunit ribosomal RNA", at positions 44 to 512 of the family's 1533-position model. Lineage: Bacteria; Bacillati; Bacillota; Bacilli; Lactobacillales; Lactobacillaceae. The record is from RNAcentral.
GUUCUGAUUAUUGAAAGGUGCUUGCAUCUUGAUUUAAUUUUGAACGAGUGGCGGACGGGUGAGUAACACGUGGGUAACCUGCCCUUAAGUGGGGGAUAACAUUUGGAAACAGAUGCUAAUACCGCAUAAAUCCAAGAACCGCAUGGUUCUUGGCUGAAAGAUGGCGUAAGCUAUCGCUUUUGGAUGGACCCGCGGCGUAUUAGCUAGUUGGUGAGGUAACGGCUCACCAAGGCAAUGAUACGUAGCCGAACUGAGAGGUUGAUCGGCCACAUUGGGACUGAGACACGGCCCAAACUCCUACGGGAGGCAGCAGUAGGGAAUCUUCCACAAUGGACGCAAGUCUGAUGGAGCAACGCCGCGUGAGUGAAGAAGGCUUUCGGGUCGUAAAACUCUGUUGUUGGAGAAGAAUGGUCGGCAGAGUAACUGUUGUCGGCGUGACGGUAUCCAACCAGAAAGCCACGGCUAACUACGUGCCAGC